GACGAACGCUGGCGGCGUGCUUAACACAUGCAAGUCGAACGGGGUUAAGGAGCUUGCUCCUUAACUUAGUGGCGAACGGGUGAGUAACGCGUGAGGAACCUGCCUUUCAGAGGGGGACAACAGUUGGAAACGACUGCUAAUACCGCAUAAGCGCACAGGACCGCAUGGUCCGGUGUGAAAAACUCCGGUGGUAUACGAUGGACCCGCGUCUGAUUAGCUAGUUGGUGAGGUAACGGCCCACCAAGGCGACGAUCAGUAGCCGGCCUGAGAGGGUGAACGGCCACAUUGGGACUGAGACACGGCCCAAACUCCUACGGGAGGCAGCAGUGGGGAAUAUUGCACAAUGGGGGAAACCCUGAUGCAGCGACGCCGCGUGAGUGAAGAAGUAUUUCGGUAUGUAAAGCUCUAUCAGCAGGGAAGAAAAUGACGGUACCUGACUAAGAAGCUCCGGCUAAAUACGUG
RNAcentral lists this ribosomal RNA (462 nucleotides) under uncultured bacterium. RNAcentral describes it as "bacterial SSU rRNA". It matches the Rfam family "Bacterial small subunit ribosomal RNA", at positions 28 to 507 of the family's 1533-position model. The record is from RNAcentral.